Non-coding RNA from Xenopus laevis (African clawed frog), 31 nucleotides. The record is from Rfam. Lineage: Eukaryota; Metazoa; Chordata; Amphibia; Anura; Pipidae.
ACAUUAUCGGAAGCCGUGUCUUCCAUAAUGG